This 5592-nucleotide long non-coding RNA is filed under the name Fragaria vesca (wild strawberry). Its description in RNAcentral is "long non-coding RNA (FVES_LNC002795)". The record is from RNAcentral. Lineage: Eukaryota; Viridiplantae; Streptophyta; Magnoliopsida; Rosales; Rosaceae.
GAGUCAUAUUAACUUCACCCAGCAACAAACAGAUUGUGGAAAACAGACUGUGUGAUUCAAGCUUAAGGUAGUUUCUAGCCAACACCUUGAAUGAUUCAAAAUUGCAAUAUGACAUUUCUAUGUGCUUGUCCAUCCUUCCUUUUCGAAUCAAUGCUGCGUCAAGCUUUUCAACAUGAUUAGUUGUGAAUACUAUAAGCCUCUCUCCUCUACAAGCUGACCACAACCCAUCAAUGAAAUUGAGAAGCCCAGAAAGUGUGACCUGACUAGGCUUGCUUUCCCUUUCUUCUUUAGGAACCUUCUCCCUUGGAUCUUUCUCUUCCUCAUCAUCCCCUUUGUCCUUCCUCUGCUUCCUCCUUUGACCUGUGAGAUCAAGUGAGCAAUCAAUGUCUUCGAUUACAAUAAUCGACUUGCUUGAUGUUUCGAUCAGCAGCUUCCUCAGUUCAGUGUUGUCCUUGACUGCAGUCAAUUCUAGAUCAUAGAGAUCAUACCCCAAGAGAUUGGCCAUGGCAGCAAUCAUUGUGGACUUGCCAGUUCCUGGAGGGCCAUGAAGUAAAUACCCUCUUUUCCAAGCUCUCCCAAUUCUUGUAUAGAACUCUUCAGCUUUGCUAAAUGCCAUCAAAUCCUCAAUGAUGUCCUUCUUCUUCUCUGGCUCCAUUGCUAGUGUCUGAAAUGUUGCUGGGUGCUGAAAAACCACAUGGCUCCAAUGUGACCCAUUAUUAGUAUAAAGCUUCCUUUGCCUGUUCCUCACUUUGAUAGCAUUACCCUCUUUCAAUACAUGAGCCAAAUAAGGCCCAAUUAUGAGAUCCCUCUUUCUUUUGUGGAAAGUGAGCUUGUAAUACCUCUUCUCAUCAUUUACGGGGAUGUAUGAAAGUGUCUGAGAUUUUGGUAACUUACCAGAAGCCCACCAUACUUGGACACCUUCAAACUCAUCAGCAACUUCUUCAUGGUCAUCCAUGCUCAGAACUAGAGACUGGUUGGUCUUGAUGUCACCUUUGAGCCGCUUAGCUUGCGUCGAAGAUUUGGAGCUCAAGUAAUUCUCAAUAGCAGAAUAGGCCUCACUGCGCAUCAGACGCUCUCCUGUCAUCUCAUUGAAGGUAAUCUGGAUGUAAGGAUAAACAUAACCCACCAAUCUCUGUGAGUACUUUUCAAUGUGGUUUCGAAGUUGGUAAGGAAAGAAUUGUUGAAAGAUUGUCCACACAAACAGUAAGGCACCUAUUGUGGAACCUAGAUGAGCAAGCAUGUCUGCUGGAGCAUACAUGCUUCAACUCUGAGCCUUCUGUGUUUUGUGUGUUUUUAUUUGUUCAGAAUGAAAACACAAAUUUUGUGAAAGUUUAGGUGAAGAUUGUAUUGUUUGUAGGAAAAAGUGUGAGGGGAGUCGGUAUGGGACGUUUCUAUGUGAAUACAAUAAGCAUGCUGGUGUAGAAUUGACUGGUGGAUUUGUCUCCAUGCUUAGGGGUCGGCAAAGCCUAUUUGGACUCCUUUGGUUGCAAAUUGGGUUAAGCAAACCAACUGUAAACUACUAGGAAACACCCUGGAAACUUUUUGAAAAUUAUUAGGACCAUGACAUCAUAAUCUUUCAUUCAAACAUCAUGCACCUUCUGUCUUUAGCUUUUCUUCACCUUACUGAAUGAUACAGGUUCAUCCACAAAUUCACUCCUCUAUGGUCUUAGGGAAUCCAACACAAACAAUAUGGGGACAUGGGUUUUCCAGAUUUUCACCAUUAGUUGGUGAUUAGCAAUAAUUAAAUUGGUAGUUUCCUCAGUUUUACUUAAUAGACAUCCCACCCUUAUCACUAUGAGUCUAUGAUUGUGUAUAUAACUAUUUAUAUAUGCAUGUGAUUAUCAUACUGGUGUAUGUGAUUUUAUUGAAAGAGUGAACUACUCAAAGCUAUAUUAUCGGGACCAAAAAAAAAAAAAAAAAACCUCAUUUAUACUUAAUUUGAGGUAGCAGCAAUAAUAGUAACUUUGCUCAUUGCUGCAGGACAGAUGGAGAUGAUUUACCAAAGCUAAAGAGAGGGAUAGAUGGGGAUUGAAUGAUUGAAAGUGUACUGGUGCUUUCCCAAAUCUUGUGGUCAUUCAUGGUAAGCUCUCUAGCCUCCCAUUCUGAUAUUGUAGGCCCUAAUUAUGCUAUACCUUGUACUCUUGUAGCUUGCUUUGUGGACUCAAACAUCCUAUAUAUCUGACUAGCCAUAUGGAGUUAGGAAUUGAUUAGUUCAUGAAGCUUUUGCAUUCUACUUCUGUAUUUCAUAUAAAAGUUUUUCAGUUUUCACUGGCACAAGAGACCUAGAGUGAAUCCAUGCAUGCAACAUAAAAUUUCAAUCAGAGAAACAAAAGCAUAAAAAAGAUCAUUGGUUGCUAUGAAAAAAUGGUAAACAACUCCAUUACAUGAUUCUUAUUAAACAUUGGAAAAAACACAGUGAUUUGGAUAGAUAAUGGAACAGAUGGUUGUAGUUAUGCAGAUAAUUUAACUCUUUUCCUCAUUUUCAAUGGACAACUCCAUUUUCUUUCACAACUUGUUAUCUGUUCCGAUACUUUUGUCUUCAUCUUUAGCAGAUUCUUCUGUUUCCUUCUCUGCUUUCUCUGCCUUCAAAAUUGCUUCUUCCUCUGCCUUCAAUUUUGCUUCUUUCUUUGCCUUCACUUUUGCUUCUUUCUCUGCCUUCUUUCUUGCUUCUUCCUCAGCCUUCACUCUUGCCUCCUCCUUUGCAACCUCGAGAGCUUCAAUUAAGUUCUUCAAACAAGAGCUGGCAUCCUCUACAUUAGAUUUAGGCAUCAAAUUCUCUGCUACAUCAGCUGGAGUCAUGUUGGUCUCCCCCAAUAAGCAUUCAAUGCUUCCGAACAAUUCAUGCGAAUCUAAAUCCAAGUAGUUCCUUGCAAGAACUUUGAAAGCUUCGUAGCAACAAUAAGACAAUUCAAUAUGCUUGUCCAUCCUUCCUCUUCUUAUAAGAGCAGGAUCAAGUUUCUCCACAUAAUUAGUGGUAAACACAAUGAUCCUUUCACUUCCACAAGCUGACCAAAUACCAUCAAUGAAGUUCAAUAGCCCAGACAAAGUAACCUGCCUUGCUUUGCUUUCUUCUCCUUCCUUCAUUUUACGGAUCGGAUCCUUUAUUUCUUUAUCUUCUUCAUCUCUCUCCUUCCUUUUCUUUCGUUGCCCCGUAAGAUCAAGUGAGCAAUCAAUGUCCUCGAUCACAAUGAUAGACUUACUAGGCGUGUCAAUCAGCAGCUUCCUCAGAUCAGUGUUGCUCUUCACUGUCGUUAGCUCAAGAUCAUAAACAUCAUAGUUCAUGAGGUUAGACAUGGCAGCUAUCAUAGUGGACUUACCAGUGCCUGGUGGUCCAUACAGAAGAUAACCCCUUUUCCAAGGCUUCCCUAUUUUCGCAUAGUACUCCUUACCAUUGCUGAACUUCAUGAGGUCAUUGAUGAUGUCCUCUUUCUUUUUUGGCUCCAUUGCUAUGCUCUCAAAUGUUGCAGGGUGUUCAAAGGCUACGGAGCUCCAUUUCCUCGUUUUGUAUCCAGGAGGAUUGUUAAUGUAAAGCUUCCUUUGCCUAUGACUCACCGUUAUUGCCUUCCCUUCUUUUCUCGCAUGGUCAAUAUAAGUCCCUGUGAUUAUAUCCCGGUGGCGUCGGUGGAAUGUGAGCUUAUAACGCCUCUUCUCAUCAGGCUGAGGAUAGAAAGGAAAUGAUGAAGAUUGCCUAGGCGCAGUUUUCCUGGAAGUCCACCACAGCUUAAUGCCUUGGAAUUCAUCAGUCACCUCUUCAUUGUCAUCCAUGACAAGGACUAAAGACUUGCUACCCUUGACUUCUUUUGCUUUGAGCCGUUUUGCUUCUGUAGACGACUUGGUGCUCAGGUAGCUUUGGAUGGCAGUGAACACUUCACUGCGCUUGUGCAACUCGCCGGAAUAUUCAUCGAAGGAAAUCUGGAUGUAAGGGUACACACACCCGAACCAUUUCUGUGUAUAUCUUUGAAUGUGGCUCCGGAGUUGAUGGGGAAAGUAUCGUUGAAACAUGGCAUAAGCAAACAUCAUACUUGCCAGUACUGAACCCAGUGAGCCCAGUCGAGGCCACAACCACAUUUCUCUCAUCAUCAUCCUCUUGAGCAUGGUUGGUUGGUUUUACAAGAUUUAAGACACUUGUAUAUAUAUGGAAUUUGGGCUCUUCAACAGACUUAAUAGGGACUUUCACUUGUCCGGUGGAGGGCUCAAGCAUACAUUCUUGAGCUUUGCCUCUGUGUUUUGUUCACAUUGGGAUGCGUUACAUUUUGUUUAUGUUUAGGUGAAGGUUAUAUUAGUAUAAAACUAUAAAUGAUGGGAAAUGAAUGAGGGUGAGUCACUGUAUGACGUGUCUAUGUGAAUACAUUAUGCAUUCUGAUCUAGAAUGGACUGGUGGAUGGGUCUCUUUGCUGAUUGUCUCCUUGCUCAAGGCCGGCAAAGAGUUUGCUUGCGAAAUGGGUUAGUAUACCAACUGCAAACAACUCACAGAUUCUCGACACUCUACAGUAAAGCCAAAGUACCCUGACAUCAUAUACCAAUGAUGUCAUAAUCUUUCCUUCAGCAUGCAUCAUGCACAAGACCUCUUCUUGUCCUUGGUUAAAAGAUAUUUCUUCCCACCCUUAUCAAAUGAAUGUAUAUGGUUGCAAUAUUGCAUAUGGGAUGAUCAUGAUGUUGCUGCAAGAUAACACAAUAUAAUUAUGUCAAUUUUGGUUCAUUCUGAUUGAUAAAGUACAAUCAUUUUAUUCAUAUGUUUUCCUCAUUGAAUAUGUAGAUGGAGAUUGACUGUGGACCGGUGAAGGUGAUGGAUUUUCUAAAGAAGUCCUGGGUUUUGAUCCACGGUAAGCUCUCUAGCCUCUAGAGAUUGCCCAAUCUUGAGAACAUAGGCUUUGUGGACUUAAACCCGGAUACUGGCAAAUAGCAACAUAGCCCUGCCUGCACCUCAUAACUUGCUUAAUUGUUCAGAUUCCCCCCUUAGUCAUUCCAUAUAUGUGGUCAUAAUUUGUUGAAAUAUAGACGUUUUCCACUGUUACUUAAGCUUUGCAUAGUAAGAUUAUAAAGAGAUUUUUCAGUUUCAAUUGGCAUUACAGUAGCUCCAUGAAACAUGAACUGUAGUAUUUAUUUCAUCAAAACUCAGAAAAUUGGUCAUUAAUUGCUUGAAAAAAGUGCAGAUUGUAAAACAACUCUUAAUGAUACUUAUUUCACACUGUAACUACAGGUUCACAAUUCUUAAUGAUUCUUAUUUCACACUACUGUAACUACUGCUUCAAGUUAUGCAGAUAUAAUUCUUCACACACUACUGUAACUACAAGUUCCAGUUAUGCAGAUUAUUUGACUCUCUUGCCACAUAUUCAAUGAACGACUCCAUUUUCUUUCCCAUCUUGUUUGGCUGAUGUUCCAUUACAUAAUUUACAUUUAACUUCAUCUUUAGCAGACUCAACCUUUUCCUUCUCUUCUUUCUCUGGCUUCAAUUUUGCUUCUUCCUCUUCCUUCAAUUUUGCUUCUUUCUCUGCCUUCUCUUUGGCUUCUUCCUCUGCCUUCAGUUUCACUUCUUCCUCGGCCUUUACUCUUGCCUCCUCCUUUGCAGUCUCGAGAGCUUCAAUCAAGUUC